RNAcentral lists this ribosomal RNA (266 nucleotides) under uncultured bacterium. RNAcentral describes it as "partial 16S ribosomal RNA". It matches the Rfam family "Bacterial small subunit ribosomal RNA", at positions 88 to 354 of the family's 1533-position model. The record is from RNAcentral.
UGGGUUAGUGGCGGACGGGUGAGUAACGCGUGGGUAACCUGCCUUACACAGGGGGAUAACACUUAGAAAUAGGUGCUAAAACCGCAUAAGCGCACAGCUUCGCAUGAAGCGGUGUGAAAAACUCCGGUGGUGUAAGAUGGACCCGCGUCUGAUUAGCUUGUUGGCGGGGUAACGGCCCACCAAGGCGACGAUCAGUAGCCGGCCUGAGAGGGUGGACGGCCACAUUGGGACUGAGACACGGCCCAAACUCCUACGGGAGGCAGCAG